Molecule: ribosomal RNA, 253 nt
Filed under: uncultured bacterium
Lineage: Bacteria
Description: partial 16S ribosomal RNA
Rfam family: Bacterial small subunit ribosomal RNA
Source: RNAcentral
UACGAAGGGGGCUAGCGUUGCUCGGAAUCACUGGGCGUAAAGGGUGCGUAGGCGGGUCUUUAAGUCAGGGGGGAAAUCCUGGAGCUCAACUCCAGAACUGCCUUUGAUACUGAAGAUCUUGAAUCCGGGAGAGGUGAGUGGAAUUCCGAGUGUAGAGGUGAAAUUCGUAGAUAUUCGGAAGAACACCAGUGGCGAAGGCGGCUCACUGGACCGGUAUUGACGCUGAGGUGCGAAAGCGUGGGGAGCAAACAGG